RNAcentral lists this transfer RNA (87 nucleotides) under Sphingomonas sp. Its description in RNAcentral is "tRNA-Leu". It matches the Rfam family "tRNA". From Rfam's summary of the family: Transfer RNA (tRNA) molecules are approximately 80 nucleotides in length. Their secondary structure includes four short double-helical elements and three loops (D, anti-codon, and T loops). RNAcentral also lists the same sequence under 5 other names. Lineage: Bacteria; Pseudomonadati; Pseudomonadota; Alphaproteobacteria; Sphingomonadales; Sphingomonadaceae. The record is from RNAcentral.
GCGGCCGUGGCGGAACUGGUAGACGCGCAACGUUGAGGUCGUUGUGUCCGAAAGGACGUGGAAGUUCGAGUCUUCUCGGCCGCACCA